RNAcentral lists this ribosomal RNA (484 nucleotides) under uncultured bacterium. RNAcentral's name for it is "partial 16S ribosomal RNA". It matches the Rfam family "Bacterial small subunit ribosomal RNA", at positions 30 to 507 of the family's 1533-position model. The record is from RNAcentral.
AUUGAACGCUGGCGGCAGGCCUAACACAUGCAAGUCGAGCGGAUGAAGGGAGCUUGCUCCUGGAUUCAGCGGCGGACGGGUGAGUAAUGCCUAGGAAUCUGCCUGGUAGUGGGGGAUAACGUCCGGAAACGGGCGCUAAUACCGCAUACGUCCUGAGGGAGAAAGUGGGGGAUCCUCGGACCUCACGCUAUCAGAUGAGCCUAGGUCGGAUUAGCUAGUUGGUGGGGUAAAGGCCUUCCAAGGCGACGAUCCGUAACUGGUCUGAGAGGAUGAUCAGUCACACUGGAACUGAGACACGGUCCAGACUCCUACGGGAGGCAGCAGUGGGGAAUAUUGGACAAUGGGCGAAAGCCUGAUCCAGCCAUGCCGCGUGUGUGAAGAAGGUCUUCGGAUUGUAAAGCACUUUAAGUUGGGAGGAAGGGCAGUAAGUUAAUACCUUGCUGUUUUGACGUUACCAACAGAAUAAGCACCGGCUAACUUCGUG